This 502-nucleotide ribosomal RNA is filed under the name Providencia rettgeri. RNAcentral describes it as "partial 23S ribosomal RNA". It matches the Rfam family "Bacterial large subunit ribosomal RNA", at positions 1265 to 1772 of the family's 2925-position model. Lineage: Bacteria; Pseudomonadati; Pseudomonadota; Gammaproteobacteria; Enterobacterales; Morganellaceae. The record is from RNAcentral.
GAGGCAUGCUGGAGGUAUCAGAAGUGCGAAUGCUGACAUAAGUAACGAUAAUGCGGGUGAAAAACCCGCACGCCGGAAGACCAAGGGUUCCUGUCCAACGUUAAUCGGGGCAGGGUGAGUCGACCCCUAAGGCGAGGCAGAAAUGCGUAGUCGAUGGGAAACGGGUUAAUAUUCCCGUACUGGUGAUAAUUGCGAUGGGGGGACGGAGAAGGCUAGGCUAUCCGGGCGACGGUUGUCCCGGUUUAAGGAUGUAGGCAGGUGAAUUAGGCAAAUCCGGUUCACUACAUGCUGAGGUCCGACGACGAGUCACUACGGUGAUGAAGUAGCUCAUGCCCCGCUUCCAGGAAAAGCCUCUAAGCUCUAGAUUAUCAUUAAUCGUACCCCAAACCGACACAGGUGGUCAGGUAGAGAAUACUCAGGCGCUUGAGAGAACUCGGGUGAAGGAACUAGGCAAAAUGGUGCCGUAACUUCGGGAGAAGGCACGCUGGCAUUAGGUGAAGUG